GCCGUGAUCGUAUAGUGGUUAAUAAUCUGCGUUGUGGCAGCAACAACCUCGGUUCGAAUCCGAGUCACUGCA
RNAcentral lists this transfer RNA (72 nucleotides) under Canis lupus familiaris (dog). It matches the Rfam family "tRNA". From Rfam's summary of the family: Transfer RNA (tRNA) molecules are approximately 80 nucleotides in length. Their secondary structure includes four short double-helical elements and three loops (D, anti-codon, and T loops). Further hydrogen bonds mediate the characteristic L-shaped molecular structure. tRNAs have two regions of fundamental functional importance: the anti-codon, which is responsible for specific mRNA codon recognition, and the 3' end, to which the tRNAs corresponding amino acid is attached (by aminoacyl-tRNA synthetases). tRNAs cope with the degeneracy of the genetic code in two manners: having more than one tRNA (with a specific anti-codon) for a particular amino acid; and 'wobble' base-pairing, i.e. permitting non-standard base-pairing at the 3rd anti-codon position. RNAcentral also lists the same sequence under 1 other name. The record is from Rfam by way of RNAcentral. Lineage: Eukaryota; Metazoa; Chordata; Mammalia; Carnivora; Canidae.